GAGGGCUCCUUUCGGAUUUGGCAGAUGAUGGAUUAGUCGAGAUCGAAGACUCCGGGGAUGAGACGAGCGUCCGGCUCCGAGGGUAACACCCGUUCGUACUCUGCUCACAGAUUUACCCGGCAGUGAUAGUGCUCUUGAUACGGAGAAUCGAGGAGAAAGCCUCGCGCUUUAGCGCGGGGAUGAAUCCGACACUACCCGUCA
RNAcentral lists this unclassified non-coding RNA (201 nucleotides) under Halorubrum ezzemoulense. RNAcentral's name for it is "HgcC family RNA". The record is from RNAcentral. Lineage: Archaea; Methanobacteriati; Methanobacteriota; Halobacteria; Halobacteriales; Haloferacaceae.